RNAcentral lists this ribosomal RNA (485 nucleotides) under uncultured bacterium. RNAcentral's name for it is "bacterial SSU rRNA". It matches the Rfam family "Bacterial small subunit ribosomal RNA", at positions 8 to 518 of the family's 1533-position model. The record is from RNAcentral.
AGAAUUUGAUCUUGGUUCAGGAUGAACGCUGGCGGCGUGCCUAACACAUGCAAGUCGAGCGAUUCUCUUCGGAGAAGAGCGGCGGACGGGUGAGUAACGCGUGGGUAACCUGCCCUGUACACACGGAUAACAUACCGAAAGGUAUGCUAAUACGGGAUAAUAUAUAAAAGUCGCAUGGCUUUUUAUAUCAAAGCUCCGGCGGUACAGGAUGGACCCGCGUCUGAUUAGCUAGUUGGUGAGGUAAUGGCUCACCAAGGCGACGAUCAGUAGCCGACCUGAGAGGGUGAUCGGCCACACUGGAACUGAGACACGGUCCAGACUCCUACGGGAGGCAGCAGUGGGGAAUAUUGCACAAUGGGCGAAAGCCUGAUGCCAGCAACGCCGCGUGAGCGAUGAAGGCCUUCGGGUCGUAAAGCUCUGUCCUCAAGGAAGAUAAUGACGGUACUUGAGGAGGAAGCCCCGGCUAACUACGUGCCAGCCGCCGC